AGAGUUUGAUCAUGGCUCAGGAUGAACGCUGGCGGCGUGCUUAACACAUGCAAGUCGAACGAUGAAGCACAGCUUGCUGUGUGGAUUAGUGGCGAACGGGUGAGUAACACGUGAGCAACCUGCCCUGGACUCUGGGAUAAGCGCUGGAAACGGCGUCUAAUACUGGAUAUGAGCCUCUAUCGCAUGGUGGGGGUUGGAAAGAUUUUUUGGUCUGGGAUGGGCUCGCGGCCUAUCAGCUUGUUGGUGAGGUAAUGGCUCACCAAGGCGUCGACGGGUAGCCGGCCUGAGAGGGUGACCGGCCAUACUGGGACUGAGACUCGGCCCAGACUCCUACGGGAGGCAGCAGUGGGGAAUAUUGCACAAUGGGCGGAAGCCUGAUGCAGCAACGCCGCGUGAGGGAUGACGGCCUUCGGGUUGUAAACCUCUUUUAGCAAGGACGAAGCGCAAGUGACGGUACCUGCAGAAGAAGCACCGGCUAACUACGUGCCAGCAGCCGCGGUAAUAC
Molecule: ribosomal RNA, 505 nt
Filed under: uncultured bacterium
Lineage: Bacteria
Description: bacterial SSU rRNA
Rfam family: Bacterial small subunit ribosomal RNA
Source: RNAcentral